CUCAUAUUUUCCCCAAGCUUCUUCCUGCUGUGAGCAAACUUUUUGACACCCUCAGUCUCAAGCAGCCUGAGAUUUUUCCUGGGUUUAAAUCUCAGAGACCUCAUCAGGCCCAAGUCAUUCAGAAAGCAUCUCUUACCAAGUUCUCCAUUGUCCCUGACCUUUGGCUUCCCAUCUUUAAAACAGGAAGAGGAAUACUGAUCCAUCUUAAUAGAAUGCGGCAAAGACAAACAGGAAACAGUGGGUGUUGGGAUUUCACGUGACUCUGAAGCUUCUGCCUGAUCCUGUUUCAUUAGAAACAGGAAAUGGACCCAGAAAUGGACCAUAUUGUGCACAACCUGAAAUAGGGCCCAGCAGAAACCACGCCAGGUAAGUUGCUCCUGGGGCCACUGUCUCUUUACGUGACGGUGUCAGGAUAG
This 416-nucleotide long non-coding RNA is filed under the name Salvator merianae (Argentine black and white tegu). RNAcentral's name for it is "lncRNA (ENSSMRG00000005336.1)". Lineage: Eukaryota; Metazoa; Chordata; Lepidosauria; Squamata; Teiidae. The record is from RNAcentral.